GUUCUCUAUAUUUUGAUUUGUAUCAGUUUUAUCAUUAUUACUUGAAGCAAGUAAAUUUUUAUAAUGAAUCUCCCAUUCUUUGGCAGAAAUAGCAGGCUCACAGUUAUUAUUCUUUUUUUUGUAAUUAUUAAUGCUUCCCCAAAAUUCUUUGGUGUUCUUUGGGUUUAUCUCAUUUAUUUGUUUUAUCAAGGAAUGAAAAAAAUCCUUUUUUAAUUUAUUUUUCAAUUUAUUGUACUCUCUUUUACAGUUGCAAUAAGUUAAUCUUAAUGCAUUAUUAUUAGGGGCUUUAGCUAAUCUAUUUCCAAGGGAACGCACUUCUUUUCUAAGGAGUAAGCAAUCAUUUGACAUCCAUACUUUUUUAGGUUUUGCUUUUUUUGUGUGUCUUUGCAUUAUGGAUUUUUUUAAAAUUUGCUUUAAAAGAAACUGAUUUUUUUUGCAGCUUCUAAAUAGAUUUCAUUAGUUUUGGUCACUAAGAAG
This 477-nucleotide long non-coding RNA is filed under the name Mytilus galloprovincialis (Mediterranean mussel). Lineage: Eukaryota; Metazoa; Mollusca; Bivalvia; Mytilida; Mytilidae. The record is from RNAcentral.